This 546-nucleotide small RNA is filed under the name Pan troglodytes (chimpanzee). RNAcentral's name for it is "retained intron". The record is from RNAcentral. Lineage: Eukaryota; Metazoa; Chordata; Mammalia; Primates; Hominidae.
GCUUAGCCCCUCUCGGCUGUCUCUGAGGUUGGGACUGAGCUCCAUGUGACUCGAGCUGCCUGUGGGGCGUGGCUGGAGGGCCACUGCGUCCCCACCAGGAGUGACCUUGGCCUGUCCCCCCACUUCCAGGUGGUUUAUUUCACAGCCACGUUUCCGUACCUGAUGCUUGUCAUUUUGCUGAUCAGAGGUGUCACCCUUCCCGGAGCCUACCAGGGCAUCAUCUACUACUUGAAGCCAGAUUUGUUCCGCCUCAAGGACCCUCAGGUGUGGAUGGAUGCGGGCACACAGAUCUUCUUCUCCUUUGCCAUCUGCCAGGGGUGCCUGACAGCCCUGGGCAGCUACAACAAGUACCACAACAACUGCUACAAGGACUGCAUCGCCCUCUGCUUCCUGAACAGUGCCACCAGCUUUGUGGCUGGGUUUGUUGUCUUCUCCAUCCUGGGCUUCAUGUCCCAAGAGCAAGGGGUGCCCAUUUCUGAAGUGGCCGAGUCAGGUCCUGGGCUGGCCUUCAUCGCCUUCCCCAAGGCUGUGACUAUGAUGCCCUUA